AAGUUCGCCCGUGGCCGCUCAGCCGCGAAAGUGUCCCGCACUUGGCGGACCGGGAGUGGCGACCGUCCGCUCCGGUCUACACUGCAGCCAAAGGACCCAGCAGCUGGAGUACCCUCCAUCAUGAGGGUGGAUGGAGGAUUUUGUUUGUUUCCUUGACAAAGGUGUGUGACUUGUCAGCCAAGAUGUUGGCUUUUUCAUGAAAGGAGCAAGGAAAUAGGAAGAGAGCAUGUUAAGGAAGAGAGCCCUUCUUGAAGCAAAUGGGCAAGAAUUGGAAGGAAGUGGGGAAAGAGGAUGGAGAUUACAGAAGAUGUGUCUGUACUUAUGACAAGUAACUAAAGUAGAUAUAACUAUUUUGGGAGAAGUGAAAAGCCAAAGAAAAAGUACCAAGUACAGGGCUCCCCUAAAAAAAAUGGAAAGAAAAGGCAGAGGGGGCAAAGAAGAGAUCAUCCUCACAUAAACUCCUCUAAACCAGCCUCUUGACGUGGGACAGAUGGGAGUGUUGGGAUGGAGUAGUUGGGACAGAUCUGCAGGGAAAAGGGGCAGAGAAACAGC
This 552-nucleotide long non-coding RNA is filed under the name Homo sapiens (human). RNAcentral's name for it is "novel transcript". The record is from RNAcentral. Lineage: Eukaryota; Metazoa; Chordata; Mammalia; Primates; Hominidae.